Molecule: long non-coding RNA, 4700 nt
Filed under: Homo sapiens (human)
Lineage: Eukaryota; Metazoa; Chordata; Mammalia; Primates; Hominidae
Description: HSALNT0137201
Source: RNAcentral
UGAUGGGGCAAAAGUGAUACACAUUUAGUAGAAAUUAUACUUUAAAUUUUGAAUUUUGAUCUCUUCCCAGGCUAGUGAUACAUGGUACCAUAUUCUCUUGCAAUGCCAGGCGGGGACAGAGCCACAGCAACCAGUCAGCCCUGCAAUCAUGAGCGUGAACCAUUGAGCCUCUAGCUUGCAGUGUUGCCAGAUGACCUUGCCCAACCAUAGGCUAAGGGAAGUGAUCUGAGCACGUGUAAGAAGAUGGAGGAAAAUCAAUCCUAGUUUCAGCGAGGUUUUGCAGUGCAUGUGCAGGCUACGUUAAUGUCACCCAGGAGCUUGAUUGACAGAUGCUCAAAUGCCCAGCCCUAUCCCUGCCCCAUCUACUGAGGAACCCAAGCACCUGAAGUUCCACAAAUGCUGCAGGUGAUUUCUAUUUAUGCUAUCAUUUGAAGAACACUGAUUUAAUGUGACUGUCUAUUAAAGUUUUAUGCAAAUUGCUUCCGUAAGUUUAUUUUUUCUCAGAAAACUAAUUCAGGAAAUAACCUUUAUAAGCCUGGAUGAUACUCAGUACCUUAUCGGACUAUGUUUUUGUAUUUUCACUUACUGGCUUUGUUUUUAAAUAGCCACAGAGUAGGUAUGGGACACUGGGGGAUGGAGAGCACAUGACAGGAAGUAAAGGCAACUGAAGUUUCCACUGAGGUUGGGAGGAAAUGGCCCGUAACUGCUUCCUAUUCAUCGUUUUGUGCAGAUUGAGUUCUGUUGCCUUAGUGUGCUGAAGAGAGCCAAGGUACAGCCUGAGGUUGUAGUGGGUUUUAUGCACAUAUUUUUGUUUUUCUUUAACCAUAUGAAUCUACUUGGGGAGUAUUUAUAGGAAAAGCUCUAAAGGCAGUCAAGCACUUUUAGAUUUCAAUCUAAGUAGCCUAUAAGUGAAUGUUAAAGGGCAAAAAGAGUCCUUCAGUUUUUCAGUUAACAUCCCAGGCACUGUGCUUGUGUUAUGGAUUUAAAAAAAAAAUAAGUGAAAGGUCCUACUCUCAAUAAAUUUUGUUAAUUUAGGAGGAGAAACCAAAAGCCAGGCAGGCAGUUAACGAAAGUAUUGGCAGUAUCACCAUAAGAGUAUAAGACUGAUGUUGGGAAAAGGACCUAGCCCAGUGUGGAGGAUCAGACAGGGCGGGGUUCCCUGAAGAAGUAUAACUUAAGCUGAGACAUGGGGGUCAAAUAAGAAUUAAUUCAUGAAAAACUUCAGGAAGACCAAGAAAAACCAUUAUUAAUGGCAAUAUCCAUUCAUUCAUUCGUUUGAUCAUUUUAUUCAUUUCAUGCAUUUAUUCAUUUAGUGACUUAUGCAUGUGUCACGUGAAAAUCACUGAGCUAGACCCUAAGGACACAGCUGUGAAAAUGCCAGACCUGGCAGCUAUCGUCAUGCAGUAGGAGAGACAGGAGACAUCUUCCAUUUCUGUUUUCCCCUAGAACUGUCUGCGGCAAAAGAAAGGUUCUCUGCACUGCCUAGUACUGUAGCCCUAACUACUGGGGCUAUUGAGCAUUUCACCUGUUUCUAAUGUGACAGAAGACAUAAAUGUAUAAUUUAGUUUUAAUAUACACAUGGCUAGUGGCUACUUUAUCUACUGCAAGAGUGAAAAAUUUCUAAUCUAGAUCCCCAUAGGAACUCAAAGAUGGGAACAAGUGGCAUCUUAAAAAUGGGCUCAGAUGGAAAAGGGGCUGCCAUGAAAGGAUGGAACUUGGGAGAUGGGAUGCUUCCCAGCAAAGGGUGGUGGUGUGCAUGCUCCUUGUAGUCAAGGUGUGACUUUAGCAUUAAUGGAGCCAUGUCACCCAUGGAAGGUACUGCUGUGAUGUUAUUUUGAAGCAUGGAUGAACUCAUAAGUCAAAAUUUUGCCAGAGGGGAACAGGCACCUCUGCUCACCUCUAUUUUCAUUCCUAGCAGGAUUAAAUUCAUAUUGUAUUUGCUGAGCAGCCCAGGUGUUUAAGAAAAAGUUGUCAUUCAGAUUGAUGGUACUUUAAAAAAAAUCCAUCAACAUACAAGGAAAAAUAUCUGUGGUGGAGAGUUGAGUGACUCAGAUUUAAUAGCAUAGCACAUGAGACCACUGUGUUCCCUAGUUUUUUUAAAAAAUGAAUUAUUGCCUUUCCCCUGUAAGCCUAGCAAUAUGGAAAGAGGGAAAGGAGGCUUUUCAAAGGAAACUGCUCUUUGGAAUAUUAAUGCAUUUAUAUCAUGUGUCCACUGAUUUAUCUAACUAAUAUUUCUCCAAUAUUUUGUCUUUUGUCUUCAAAUAGUUCUAUCCAAACUGUACUGACUUAAUUUUUCUACUAUUUUUAAAAGCAUUAUCUAUGAAGUUUUACUUUAUAACUUGGAGAAUUGAUUUUUCAUACAGUAAGAUGGGUUUUCUCAGACUAUCAAACCUUAAAAGUGGUAUUUUGAAUUUCUACUAAAGUCAGCAUGUAGAAGGCUAUAAUGACAUUCUCCUGGAUCUUAAAUAGGGGGUAAAGAAUCUCUGGGUCUUGAGAACACCCCAAAGGCGAACUCUAUACUUAAGCCACAAAACAUCUCUCUGGAAUAAGAUAAGGAGACAAGGUCCCAGGGAAGGGAGGGAGGGAAGAAAUGAAAGAACAGAGAAACAGGAAAUAGGAGUAAAGGAAAAGGAGGAGGAGAAGGAGGGAUGGAGAGACAGAGGGGGAGAGUGGAAAGAGAGAGAGAGAGAGCAAGCGAGAGAGAGAGAGAGCACAUCAUCAAAACACAACAUCAAAAACUCCAGGCUAUCUUCCAACCAUCUAGAAAGCUAAAAAGUGUCAUCAGAUGAUUCCCUGAUUUGGCUGAAAUAAUCCCCAUAAUAUGUUUUUAGUAUUCACGAUCAUUUUUGAGUACCCUGAUAUCAGCAGGAGGCUACUUUGGAAGCCAGAUGCAAAUAAGUGUCUCAGAAAUUAAAGACAUCUUCCCCCAUUGGAUAUCAAUAAAUCAGUAUUCUAGAAUUACUAUUCUAGUAAUAUGUAUUCUUGUUUUAGAGACUUGGUUAGUAGUCUGACCCCAAGAGGUCAGUCAGUUCUGUGUGGAUAGAAAAACCAAAUCCAGUUUCUGAACGGAAAACCUAAGGCCCACAGCCUGCAGAAUGAUGUAUCACCCUGGUUAUUACCACCCAUGGGGACAGACCACAUGACCAUGCAGCAUCAAUCUCAGACUGUUCUCAUUCUCGCUCCUUGACUGCAGUGUCCUUUGCUCAUCUUUUUAUUUUUUAAAAUUUCAGUCAUUUGAAUUACAACCUGCUUAUUAUAAUAAUUCAAAAGGCAGUAAUGUAUUCAGAAGGAAGUUAAUAGUGUAUAUUGCACAUCUCCAAUACCACUUCACCAGUGGCAGCCUGUGCCUCUCAUUCAUACCUUUUCUUUGCUGGUACAUCUGUGCACCAACAUAAAGAUUUUGAUUUAAUUUUUAAUACAGAUGAGAUUCCACUGUACAUAGUAUUUUGUGAUUUGCUCUUGUUGUAUUAUAUGGUUGCUAUGAGUUCCAGAUCAAUGCACAUAUAUCUGCUUCAUGCUUUUAAAGACCUUCACAAUAGUCUCUAGUAUGAGUUUAUUAAAAUGUAGUAAUUCUCUCCCUGAUUGAAUAUUCAAAUUUAUUUUAAAUUUUUGCUACUCCAAAUGUGGUGAGAUAAUAUUUUUGAUAUACUUAUGCCUGACUUCCCUUUCUCUUCCAUCUCACAUAUAGUCAGGGCCCCUAUAUUGACUGCCUCGGCAAGAGUAUAGAGAGGUGAAGCACAAAUGGCCCAGAAGAACUGUUAUAGACUGAAUGUUUGUGUCCCCCUAAAAUUUAUACAUUGAAGCCCUAAUCUUUAGUGCAACCGUAUGUACCUCUAAGAAGGUAAUUAAGGUUAAAUGAGGCCAUAAGGGUGGGGCCCUAAUCCCAUAAGACUAAUGUCUUUAUACAAAGAGAUAUCAGAGAGCUUUCUCUCUCCAAGUGCCUAUGAGAAGUUGGCCAUCUGCAAUCCAGGAAGACAACCCUUACCAGAAAUCAAAUCAACCAGAACCUUGAUCUUGGACUUCCAGUCUUUAGAACUUGUAGAACUUGGAGGAAAUAAUAGCUUGAUGUUUAAGCUACCCAGUCUGUAGUGUUUUACCGUUUCACCUUAGCAGACUAAUGUGGACCCCAAUUCUCUAAGCCCAGGAAGGAAAAUAAGAUGUUAUUGUAAAUAAAAUCUCUUGGCCAGAAAAGGAAAGUAAGGUUUCCAUCAAGAUGAGGGAAAAAUUUCCUAGAUAGAGCUGGCUAGAAGGUAAGAACCCCAGAAAGUGGCUGGGAAGACAUACUUAGGCUACACUACAGGCAGACUCAUAAUAAUGUAAGACAGUGGAGAAGUUCUCUUACCCUAAUACUUUUAUAUUUUCCAGCUUACAAAAUGUCAUGUCUCCACCUCCUAUCUCUGUAUUGGUCAUUAAAAGUUUCUGUUUCUCAGCUUUGUAUUAGAGUGAACAAUACUUUGAUACCUCAACUGCAGAUAUUUACUCUCCAUUUUCUCUUGAUAUCGUGUAUGAUGUUUAUUGCCAUGCACUUUUUAAAUGUUAUUUUAAGAAAUCAAAAAUUAUUUCCCUUAUAGAUUUUAACUUUUUCAGUUAAAAAGCUCAUCCUGCACUCAGGCUACACAAAUAUUUCCUAAAUUUUAUUCUAAUAUAUUAUAGUUUUAUUUGUUAUAUGGAGAUCCCACUGGGGUUCAUUUAUAUGGUGA